UCUUUAUCCUUCUUUCUCUGGCCUGGGGUCCCAGUUUAUCUUGUCCCUGGGCAUGCUUUUUGCCCAGGGUGCUUUUUUUUUAAGAGCUCCUCAUACUAGCCAUAAAGAGAAACAUGCAGUAAGGAAGGAGGAAAAGAAAGCUAGGUUUCGAGCGUUGCAAACAAGAACUCUUGGGCAGAUUGCAGAAAGAGAAUCCUGGCUUGGAAAGUGUUGCCAGCUGGUCUCGUACCCACAUCUUUUCAGUAAAUUUCUCUCAAGCAUAUGUACACAUACAAAUACGCCUUCUGUUGAAGGCAAUGAAAUAAUCUUUCCCCAUGGAGGCUGGAGAAAAUAUGCUGAACCAUGAAACUGAAGCGAUGCUUUUGGUCUGGGUAUGUUUCUUCAUGGAGCAGAGACUGUUGUCACCAUCUCUGAGCUGUGCGGGACUCGGAUAUUCAGCAGGUUGGAGUGGCCCCCCGGAAGCAUCAUUCUGAGUAUGGAAGUUCCCCCCGGGACAUGCUAAUCUCGUUCUCUGCCCACCUUGGCUAAAAUGACUCCACAGGCAGCCCCAGCACCUUCCCCUUUUACUACCUUCACAGAAUAGACCAGUCUUGCAAAUCACCUUA
This is a long non-coding RNA of Neofelis nebulosa (Clouded leopard), 605 nucleotides long. RefSeq lists it as uncharacterized. The transcript has 2 exons. Lineage: Eukaryota; Metazoa; Chordata; Mammalia; Carnivora; Felidae. The record is from RefSeq and is a predicted model, not a curated record.